GGCUCAGGAUGAACGCUAGCGACAGGCCUAACACAUGCAAGUCAGGGGCAGCACAAGGAGCAAUCUGAGGUGGCGACCGGCGCACGGGUGAGUAACACGUAUGCAACCUGCCUGUAAGCGGGGAAUAACCCGUUGAAAGACGGACUAAUACCGCAUAAUACUAAAUUACUGCAUGGUAAUUUAUUUAAACAUUUAUGGCUUACAGAUGGGCAUGCGCAUGAUUAGCUAGUUGGAGAGGUAACGGCUCCCCAAGGCAACGAUCAUUAGGGGUUCUGAGAGGAAGGUCCCCCCACACUGGUACUGAGACACGGACCACGACUCCUACGGGAGGCAGCAGUGAGGAAUAUUGGUCAAUGGACGAGAGUCUGAACCAGCCAAGUCGCGUGCAGGAAGAAUUGUCCUAUGGAUUGUAAACUGCUUUUGCGAGGGGAAUAAAGUGCAUCACGUGUGAUGUUUUGUAUGUACUCUGCGAAUAAGGAUCGGCUAACUCCGUGCCAGCCGCCGC
Molecule: ribosomal RNA, 505 nt
Filed under: uncultured bacterium
Lineage: Bacteria
Description: bacterial SSU rRNA
Rfam family: Bacterial small subunit ribosomal RNA
Source: RNAcentral